CCUAAUACAUGCAAGUCGAACGAGUUCUUGUUGAUGAUCGGUGCUUGCACCAAGAUUCAACAUGGAACGAGUGGCGGACGGGUGAGUAACACGUGGGUAACCUGCCCUUAAGUGGGGGAUAACAUUUGGAAACAGAUGCUAAUACCGCAUAGAUCCAAGAACCGCAUGGUUCUUGGCUGAAAGAUGACGUAAGCUAUCGCUUUUGGAUGGACCCGCGGCGUAUUAGCUAGUUGGUGAGGUAAUGGCUCACCAAGGCGAUGAUACGUAGCCGAACUGAGAGGUUGAUCGGCCACAUUGGGACUGAGACACGGCCCAAACUCCUACGGGAGGCAGCAGUAGGGAAUCUUCCACAAUGGACGCAAGUCUGAUGGAGCAACGCCGCGUGAGUGAAGAAGGCUUUCGGGUCGUAAAACUCUGUUGUUGGAGAAGAAUGGUCGGCAGAGUAACUGUUGUCGGCGUGACGGUAUCCAACCAGAAAGCCACGGCUAACUACGUGCCAGCAGCCGCGGUAAUACGUAGGUGGCAAGCGUUAUCCGGAUUUAUUGGGCGUAAAGCGAGCGCAGGCGGUUUUUUAAGUCUGAUGUGAAAGCCCUCGGCUUAACCGAGGAAGCGCAUCGGAAACUGGGAAACUUGAGUGCAGAAGAGGACAGUGGAACUCCAUGUGUAGCGGUGAAAUGCGUAGAUAUAUGGAAGAACACCAGUGGCGAAGGCGGCUGUCUGGUCUGUAACUGACGCUGAGGCUCGAAAGCAUGGGUAGCGAACAGGAUUAGAUACCCUGGUAGUCCAUGCCGUAAACGAUGAAUGCUAGGUGUUGGAGGGUUUCCGCCCUUCAGUGCCGCAGCUAACGCAUUAAGCAUUCCGCCUGGGGAGUACGACCGCAAGGUUGAAACUCAAAGGAAUUGACGGGGGCCCGCACAAGCGGUGGAGCAUGUGGUUUAAUUCGAAGCAACGCGAAGAACCUUACCAGGUCUUGACAUCUUUUGAUCACCUGAGAGAUCAGGUUUCCCCUUCGGGGGCAAAAUGACAGGUGGUGCAUGGUUGUCGUCAGCUCGUGUCGUGAGAUGUUGGGUUAAGUCCCGCAACGAGCGCAACCCUUAUGACUAGUUGCCAGCAUUUAGUUGGGCACUCUAGUAAGACUGCCGGUGACAAACCGGAGGAAGGUGGGGAUGACGUCAAAUCAUCAUGCCCCUUAUGACCUGGGCUACACACGUGCUACAAUGGAUGGUACAACGAGUUGCGAGACCGCGAGGUCAAGCUAAUCUCUUAAAGCCAUUCUCAGUUCGGACUGUAGGCUGCAACUCGCCUACACGAAGUCGGAAUCGCUAGUAAUCGCGGAUCAGCACGCCGCGGUGAAUACGUUCCCGGGCCUUGUACACACCGCCCGUCACACCAUGAGAGUUUGUAACACCCGAAGCCGGUGGCGUAACCCUUUUAGGGAGCGAGCCGUCUAAGGUGGGACAAAUGAUUAGGGUGAAGUC
This 1478-nucleotide ribosomal RNA is filed under the name uncultured organism. RNAcentral describes it as "16S ribosomal RNA". It matches the Rfam family "Bacterial small subunit ribosomal RNA". The record is from RNAcentral.